GACGAACGCUGGCGGCGUGCCUAAUACAUGCAAGUAGAACGCUGAAGGAGGAGCUUGCUUCUCUGGAUGAGUUGCGAACGGGUGAGUAACGCGUAGGUAACCUGCCUGGUAGCGGGGGAUAACUAUUGGAAACGAUAGCUAAUACCGCAUAAGAGUAGAUGUUGCAUGACAUUUGCUUAAAAGGUGCACUUGCCUCACUACCAGAUGGACCUGCGUUGUAUUAGCUAGUUGGUGGGGUAACGGCUCACCAAGGCGACGAUACAUAGCCGGCCUGAGAGGGUGAUCGGCCACACUGGGACUGAGGCACGGCCCAGACUUCUACGGGAGGCAGCAGUAGGGAAUCUUCGGCAAUGGACGGAAGGCUGACCGAGCAACGCCGCGUGAGUGAAGAAGGUUUUCGGAUCGGAAAGGUCUGUUGUAAGAGAAGAACGAGUGUGAGAGUGGAAAGUUCACACUGUGACGGUAUCUUACCAGAAAGGGACGGCUAACUACGUG
This 495-nucleotide ribosomal RNA is filed under the name uncultured bacterium. RNAcentral describes it as "partial 16S ribosomal RNA". It matches the Rfam family "Bacterial small subunit ribosomal RNA", at positions 28 to 507 of the family's 1533-position model. The record is from RNAcentral.